CCUACGGGAGGCAGCAGUGAGGAAUAUUGGUCAAUGGGCGAGAGCCUGAACCAGCCAAGUCGCGUGAGGGAGUACUGCCCUAUGGGUUGUAAACCUCUUUUGUCGGGGAGCAAAAGCCGGACGUGUCCGGCUGUGAGAGUACCCGAAGAAAAAGCAUCGGCAAACUCCGUGCCAGCAGCCGCGGUAAUUCGGAGGAUGCGAGGGUUAUCCGGAUUUAUUGGGUUUAAAGGGUGCGCAGGCGGAUUUUUAAGUCAGCGGUAAAAUCGUGGGGCUCAACCCCAUCCAGCCGUUGAAACUGGGGAUCUAGAGUGUGCGAGAGGUAUGCGGAAUGCGUGGUGUAGCGGUGAAAUGCAUAGAUAUCACGCAGAACCCCGAUUGCGAAGGCAGCAUACCGGUGCACAACUGACGCUCAGGCACGAAAGCGUGGGUAUCGAACAGGAUUAGAUACCCUGGUAGUC
Molecule: ribosomal RNA, 458 nt
Filed under: uncultured bacterium
Lineage: Bacteria
Description: partial 16S ribosomal RNA
Rfam family: Bacterial small subunit ribosomal RNA
Source: RNAcentral